RNAcentral lists this ribosomal RNA (94 nucleotides) under Caerostris darwini. Lineage: Eukaryota; Metazoa; Arthropoda; Arachnida; Araneae; Araneidae. The record is from RNAcentral.
AAUAUACCGGUUCUCGUUAGAUUACCGAAGUCAAGCAUCAUUGGGCGCGGUCAGUACUUGGGAGGGUGACCACCUGGGAACACCGCGUGCCGUU